GUGGACUUGACGCAUGCAAAACUAGACGAACUUAGCUCACGUAGAAUUAGGUGAACCAUGACAUGCAAAACAAGGUGGGCUCCACUCACAGUGCUCAGAACACGAGUUGGGUUCCACCCACGGAAUUUGAAGCAAUGAAUAUGAUAGUUUGUUGUAGUGGUGAUAGAAAUGAAACUACUCGGGACACGUGGAAUCCCAUGUGAAUCAGCAAGGACCACCUUGCAAGGCAAAAGACUCUUGGGUGACAGAUAAUGAAGUGGUACUAUGAGGGAAGGGUGAAAAGAACCCCCAUUAGGGAAUAGGGAGUGAAAUAGAACAUGAAAC
RNAcentral lists this ribosomal RNA (324 nucleotides) under Malus domestica (apple). RNAcentral describes it as "rRNA MD17G0204700". It matches the Rfam family "Bacterial large subunit ribosomal RNA", at positions 292 to 556 of the family's 2925-position model. The record is from RNAcentral. Lineage: Eukaryota; Viridiplantae; Streptophyta; Magnoliopsida; Rosales; Rosaceae.